CCUACGGGAGGCUGCAGUGGGGAAUAUUGGACAAUGGGGGCAACCCUGAUCCAGCCAUGCCGCGUGUGUGAAGAAGGCCCUCGGGUUGUAAAGCACUUUCAGUGAGGAAGAACGCCUGGUGGUUAAUACCCAUCAGGAAAGACAUCACUCACGGAAGAAGCACCGGCUAACUCCGUGCCAGCAGCCGCGGUAAUACGGAGGGUGCGAGCGUUAAUCGGAAUUACUGGGCGUAAAGCGCGCGUAGGUGGCUUGAUAAGCCGGUUGUGAAAGCCCCGGGCUCAACCUGGGAACGGCAUCCGGAACUGUCAAGCUAGAGUGCAGGAGAGGAAGGUAGAAUUCCCGGUGUAGCGGUGAAAUGCGUAGAGAUCGGGAGGAAUACCAGUGGCGAAGGCGGCCUUCUGGACUGACACUGACACUGAGGUGCGAAAGCGUGGGUAGCAAACAGGAUUAGAUACCCCUGUAGUC
RNAcentral lists this ribosomal RNA (465 nucleotides) under Vreelandella stevensii. Its description in RNAcentral is "partial 16S ribosomal RNA". It matches the Rfam family "Bacterial small subunit ribosomal RNA", at positions 338 to 795 of the family's 1533-position model. Lineage: Bacteria; Pseudomonadati; Pseudomonadota; Gammaproteobacteria; Oceanospirillales; Halomonadaceae. The record is from RNAcentral.